CAAAAUUCCCAUUUGUCCUUUUUAAUACAUCUUAUUUCAGUCCGAGAAAGAGGAGGAAGAAGAAGAAAAAAGAAGAGAUGGGAGGAGGCAAUGGACAGAAGUCAAAGAUGGCUCGCGAGAAGAACAUGGAGAAGCAAAAAGCUGCCGCUAAGGGUAAUCUCAACCCUUUCUUUUUAUAGAUAGCUCAAAAGAGAGGAUAUUUUCCUCUAUUAUUCCCUUGAAAAUGGUAAAUAGAAUGAAAUCAUGUAAACUGAAUAGCUGAAUCAGAUUCAGUUGACUGAAAGAUUUUUGUUCCGAUAGUUCUCUCUUAAUCGAAGACGGGAUUUUCUUCUUUGAUUAGUUGAAAUUUUCUUAAACCUUUGUUCAAUCUUCUUUUUACUCGAGAUCUAUAUAGUAAUAGUCAUGUUUUCACCUGGGUAUUGUCCGAUCUGUGUGCAGGAAGUCAGCUUGAAUCAAACAAGAAAGCCAUGACGAUCCAGGUACCGUUCUGGGCUUGGCUCCUUCUUUUCCCCCAUAAAAUUUCCUCUACUUUUGCUUUUGGUUUGUGAUUGUUUGCGUCUGAUGUUGGUUUGCAGUGCAAGAUUUGCAUGCAGACAUUCAUUUGCACCACAUCAGAGGUGAAGUGCAGAGAGCACGCCGAAGCAAAACACCCAAAAUCAGACGUAUAUGCUUGUUUUCCACACCUCAAGAAAUGAAGUGAUGACGGGGGAAUAAUAAGAAUUUGUAGAGAUGGGUUCCAAGAUCCUGCAUAUCAUAUCAUGGUGAUAGAAUUUGGAGCUUUUGCAAAUCAAUCCAUCCAAAAACUCUCUUGGAUAGUUAUGUCUCUUAUUUAUUAUUUCUAAUUCCUAUGAAUUUCUGAUUUCAGAUUCACACCUCUGUGGUGUGGGUGUGGCUUGCUUUGUUCUAGAAAAAGAACAUAAAAUCAAUUAAUUAAUCAAUUCGAUUCAUCCAGGCUGAGAGACCAGCUAAUCAAUGGAGGCUUAAGUUCAUCUACAAAAGUUUGUCGUGUAAAACUAUAUAGUCUGUUGGCCUAAAGCAGGGCGAUAUAAACUGGAUGAUGAAAUGUUAUACGGUAAAUUAAAAUAACUAAGUGCUUUUGUGCUCGUAAAAUUCCAUCCUAAAUUGGACUUUUUACCAUAUGAUUGUAACACCCCAAAAUUUUAAUUAAAAUUUUUAUGAGUAUUUUGGUAUUUUAAUUUUAUUUAA
Molecule: unclassified non-coding RNA, 1206 nt
Filed under: Hevea brasiliensis (rubber tree)
Lineage: Eukaryota; Viridiplantae; Streptophyta; Magnoliopsida; Malpighiales; Euphorbiaceae
Source: RNAcentral